AUUGAACGCUGGCGGCAUGCUUUACACAUGCAAGUCGGACGGUAACAGGCCGCAAGGUGCUGACGAGUGGCGAACGGGUGAGUAAUGCAUCGGAACGUGCCCAGUCGUGGGGGAUAACUACUCGAAAGAGUAGCUAAUACCGCAUACGAUCUAUGGAUGACAGCGGGGGACCGUAAGGCCUCGCGCGAUUGGAGCGGCCGAUGUCAGAUUAGGUAGUUGGUGGGGUAAAGGCUCACCAAGCCAACGAUCUGUAGCUGGUCUGAGAGGACGACCAGCCACACUGGGACUGAGACACGGCCCAGACUCCUACGGGAGGCAGCAGUGGGGAAUUUUGGACAAUGGGCGCAAGCCUGAUCCAGCAAUGCCGCGUGCAGGAAGAAGGCCUUCGGGUUGUAAACUGCUUUUGUACGGAACGAAACGGCUCUGGUUAAUACCCGGGGCUAAUGACGGUACCGUAAGAAUAAGCACCGGCUAACUACGUG
RNAcentral lists this ribosomal RNA (482 nucleotides) under uncultured bacterium. Its description in RNAcentral is "partial 16S ribosomal RNA". It matches the Rfam family "Bacterial small subunit ribosomal RNA", at positions 30 to 507 of the family's 1533-position model. The record is from RNAcentral.